This is a non-coding RNA of Gossypium hirsutum (cotton), 137 nucleotides long. The record is from Rfam. Lineage: Eukaryota; Viridiplantae; Streptophyta; Magnoliopsida; Malvales; Malvaceae.
UAUUAAAAAUUUCAUCCAUUUUUAUUAUUAAAAAUCGGUAUAGCGAUGGAAUAACCAAACAGUUAUGUAUCCAUGUAUACCUCAUGCUAACAUACAAGAACCAUCUUUUAACGAUACAAAUGGAGAAUUUUUUAACC